This 1478-nucleotide ribosomal RNA is filed under the name metagenome. Its description in RNAcentral is "bacterial SSU rRNA". It matches the Rfam family "Bacterial small subunit ribosomal RNA". The record is from RNAcentral.
GUAAUACAUGCAAGUCGUACGAGGUUGCAUCCUUCGGGGUGUAAUCUAGUGGCGAACGGGUGCGUAACACGUGGAUGAUCUACCUCUAAGACUGGGACAACUAGCCGAAAGGUUAGCUAAUACCGGAUAUGACCACGACCAGUAUCAUCUGGAUGGGGUAAAAGCUGGGGACCUUCGGGCCUAGCACUUAGUGAUGAGUCCGCGGCUGAUUAGCUUGUUGGUGGGGUAACGGCCUACCAAGGCGACGAUCAGUAGCCGGCCUGAGAGGGUGAACGGCCACACUGGAACUGAGAUACGGUCCAGACUCCUACGGGAGGCAGCAGUAGGGAAUUUUCCACAAUGGGCGCAAGCCUGAUGGAGCAACGCCGCGUGAGGGAUGAAGGUUUUCGGAUCGUAAACCUCUUUGAAGUGAGAAGAACGAUUUAGGGGUUAAUAUCCCCUAGAAGUGACGGUAUCACUAAAACAAGUCACGGCUAACUCUGUGCCAGCAGCCGCGGUAAUACAGAGGUGACGAACGUUGUCCGGAAUUACUGGGCGUAAAGGGCAUGUAGGCGGUUUGUUAAGUCAGAUGUGAAAUCUCUCGGCUCAACCGGGAAAUUGCAUUUGAAACUGGCAGACUUGAGUUCGGUAGAGGAAGGCGGAAUUCAUGGUGUAGCGGUGAAAUGCGUAGAUAUCAUGAGGAACACCUGUGGCGAAGGCGGCUUUCUGGUCCGAUACUGACGCUGAAACGCGAAAGCUAGGGUAGCAAACAGGAUUAGAUACCCUGGUAGUCCUAGCUGUAAACGAUGAGUACUAGGUGUUGGAGGUAUUGACCCCUUCAGUGCCGAAGCUAACGCAUUAAGUACUCCGCCUGGGAACUACGGUCGCAAGACUGAAACUCAAAGGAAUUGACGGGGGCCCGCACAAGCGGUGGAGCAUGUGGUUUAAUUCGAUGCAACGCGAAGAACCUUACCUAGGCUUGACAUGGUAUGAUGCCCGUAUGAAAGUACGGUUUCCCGCAAGGGACAUACACACAGGUGCUGCAUGGCUGUCGUCAGCUCGUGUCGUGAGAUGUUGGGUUAAGUCCCGCAACGAGCGCAACCCCUAUCUCUAGUUGCCAUCAGGUUAUGCUGGGAACUCUAGAGAAACUGCCCCGGACAACGGGGAGGAAGGUGGGGAUGACGUCAAGUCCUCAUGGCCUUUAUGUCUAGGGCUACACACGUGCUACAAUGGCUGAUACAGAGGGUUGCGAGACCGCAAGGUGGAGCCAAUCCCUAAAGUCAGUCCCAGUUCGGAUUGAGGGCUGCAAUUCGCCCUCAUGAAGUUGGAAUCGCUAGUAAUCGCGGAUCAGCACGCCGCGGUGAAUACGUUCCCGGGCCUUGUACACACCGCCCGUCACGCCACGGAAGUUUGUUGUACCAGACAACGGUGAGCUAACCCGCAAGGGAGGCAGCUGUCUACGGUAUGGCAGGUAACUGGGGCGAAGUCGUAACAAGGUA